CCUACGUGAGGCAGCAGUGGUGAAUAUUGCACAAUGGGGGAAACCCUGAUGCCGCGACGCCGCGUGAGUGAAGAAGUAAUUCGUUAUGUACAGCUCUAUCAGCAGGGAAGAAAAUGACGGUACCUGAGUAAGAAGCCCCGGCUAACUACGUGCCAGCAGCCGCGGUAAUACGUAGGGGGCAAGCGUUAUCCGGAUUUACUGGGUGUAAAGGGAGCGUAGACGGCAGUGCAAGUCUGGAGUGAAAGGCGGGGGCUCAACCCCCGGACUGCUCUGGAAACUGUACGGCUGGAGUGCAGGAGAGGUAGGUGGAAUUCCUAGUGUAGCGGUGAAAUGCGUAGAUAUUAGGAGGAACACCAGUGGCGAAGGCGGCUUACUGGACUGUAACUGACGUUGAGGCUCGAAAGCGUGGGGAGCAAACAGGAUUAGAUACCCCAGUAGUC
This 440-nucleotide ribosomal RNA is filed under the name uncultured bacterium. RNAcentral describes it as "partial 16S ribosomal RNA". It matches the Rfam family "Bacterial small subunit ribosomal RNA", at positions 338 to 795 of the family's 1533-position model. The record is from RNAcentral.